UACGUAGGGCGCAAGCGUUAUCCGGAAUUAUUGGGCGUAAAGAGCUCGUAGGCGGUUUGUCGCGUCUGCCGUGAAAGUCCGGGGCUCAACUCCGGAUCUGCGGUGGGUACGGGCAGACUAGAGUGAUGUAGGGGAGACUGGAAUUCCUGGUGUAGCGGUGAAAUGCGCAGAUAUCAGGAGGAACACCGGUGGCGAAGGCGGCUAUCUGGACAGAAACUGACGCUGAGGCGCGAAAGCUAGGGGAGCAAACAGG
RNAcentral lists this ribosomal RNA (253 nucleotides) under uncultured bacterium. RNAcentral describes it as "partial 16S ribosomal RNA". It matches the Rfam family "Bacterial small subunit ribosomal RNA", at positions 524 to 776 of the family's 1533-position model. The record is from RNAcentral.